Molecule: long non-coding RNA, 835 nt
Filed under: Gallus gallus (chicken)
Lineage: Eukaryota; Metazoa; Chordata; Aves; Galliformes; Phasianidae
Description: lncRNA (ENSGALG00010021542.1)
Source: RNAcentral
CAAGAAAACAAAAGGACAGAGCCUCAUUUGGUGUAAACCAGCCUCCCCAUUUUAACUCCAUGGAAACUAUACAAAGGAUCUAAUCCCUGGUCUCGUGCUGAGCAUACCAAGGCUCUAGCCAGUGCUGACACCCUGUUCUCCUGUAAAUGAAAGCAGGUUGGGUCUUAACUCCAGAGAUAGGCUGAAGAGCCCCAACCUGUUCCCACACGGGAGGUGCCCAAGCCCUCUAAUUAUCUUGGUGGCUUUCAUCUGAUCCUGCUCUUUACUGGUGAAGUUGAAGUUUCAUGGUUUAAAAAUACACAAAACUAAGGCUUUGGGACACAAAAUUUCUGAUGUCUAAGCCUGUACAGAGACAGAAGUACUACCAAAGCAGAGGUUGCAAGCAAAAAAAGACAUCCUCAUUAAGGCAAUACAGCAUGCUGCUCUGAAAAUAAUCUUCAUCAUUCCUUGAGACUCCUACAUGAACCUCUUCUUCACGUUUUCCAGUGUCUUACAUCCCUGCUGGAGCUAAGUGACAAAGAAAGAAGGCUAAGAGGAGGAAGAAGCAGCAUUGGAAGACAGUGGUGAUUAGAACGAGCUUUUGUGAAGAAAAGAAAAUCUGAUGGAACUAGUUGAUAACAGGAAGAGAAGGAUAAGGAAGUGAAAUAUUUUCUGCCCAUGCAGCACUGAAUUAGGGCAGCAUCACUGUUGGUAUGAAUACACAAGCAUUUUGUUCAGCUUUAACUGCUGCUGCUCCCUAACCUUAUAAGACGAUGACAUCUCAUUGGUCCUUCUGUCAGUGGUGUGAGACUACUAACUCAGAUCAAAAGGAAAUAAUGCUGGAGACAGAAAGGGG